RNAcentral lists this transfer RNA (86 nucleotides) under Pseudomonadota bacterium. RNAcentral's name for it is "tRNA-Leu". It matches the Rfam family "tRNA". Rfam says of the family: Transfer RNA (tRNA) molecules are approximately 80 nucleotides in length. Their secondary structure includes four short double-helical elements and three loops (D, anti-codon, and T loops). Further hydrogen bonds mediate the characteristic L-shaped molecular structure. tRNAs have two regions of fundamental functional importance: the anti-codon, which is responsible for specific mRNA codon recognition, and the 3' end, to which the tRNAs corresponding amino acid is attached (by aminoacyl-tRNA synthetases). tRNAs cope with the degeneracy of the genetic code in two manners: having more than one tRNA (with a specific anti-codon) for a particular amino acid; and 'wobble' base-pairing, i.e. permitting non-standard base-pairing at the 3rd anti-codon position. RNAcentral also lists the same sequence under 2 other names. The record is from RNAcentral. Lineage: Bacteria; Pseudomonadati; Pseudomonadota.
GCCGGAGUGGCGAAAUUGGCAGACGCACAAGACUCAAAAUCUUGGGCUCCUUCGGGAGCGUGAGGGUUCGACUCCCUCCUCCGGCA